This 1175-nucleotide long non-coding RNA is filed under the name Cricetulus griseus (Chinese hamster). Its description in RNAcentral is "lncRNA (ENSCGRG00015036195.1)". The record is from RNAcentral. Lineage: Eukaryota; Metazoa; Chordata; Mammalia; Rodentia; Cricetidae.
GCGUGUCUCAGGCAGCGCAGGUGGAACAGCUGCCUAGCUCCGCACAAUCCGCCAUGUACCCUGGGCCGCGUCACGCACGUCCCCGGGCGGCCAGGCGUCUCUCUAAGGCUGGGGGAAGCAGAUUUUAGAAAGAGCCAGCUCAUUGCACAAUUCAGCUUUAAGGAUUGCAAAAUGACUACAGCCUCUAGGAUUUUUGCCUGAAACGCCGAGAGAGAGUCGCCAAUCCCUAGGCUGCGUUUUGCUGCAAGGACUCUUUCCCCGCCCCCUCCCCGGGCUGCACGGUCCUUCUGCUUCGCGAAAGUAAAAAACUGGGCCAGAUGAGAAGAAACCAAGGCAAAGGAUUCCAGAUUCUCAGUCAGCCAGUAUCUGAACCUGUCACACUCACUCCUGUCUUCAGUUGCUGCAGGACUUGGCGUAUAGCCUGCUCCUCUCAGGGUCAAUUACCUUGUGGAAGCCUUGGAAAGCAGAGGUCACCAUUGUCCCUAUGAAGUUCGAAUCAAGGGUUCCCUUAACCCCAAGGGAGGGAUUUGACGCAGACAUUCCUUUAGAGGCAUAGAGGCCAGAGGAGGAUGUCACGUGUGCUGUUCCAUCACUGUCUGCCUUUCCUCUUGAGGCGUAUCUCUUCACUGAGUCUGAAGUUGGGCUAAUGGGCACAGACGGAUCAAGGUGUGUGGUCAGCUCAUCCAAACUCUGCCCCUCCUCCCGGACCUGUGAGUCGGCGUCCUCCCUAGAAAGAUUCUUCUUAUGUGGUUGUCCCUGGCGACCUGAGCCAAAACAUUUGAAGCCAGUUUGAGCUUUUUGUUGCCUGCAAAACAUUAAAAAGUACCAGAAGUGUCUCUCCUAAUCAGAGACUGGCUAUGUGGAGGAAUAAAAACGGUGAAACUGUUUGAUUCUUCAUCUUCUUCCUGGACAUGUUCACUGACCACUUGACUAUGAAGCCCAAGCAUAGGAUUUAUUUUCUUUUUCUGGAAAAGUAAGAAAGUGGCAAAUGUAAUUUAAAAAUUUCAGAUUUUUAUGGCAACUUAUAGAUGUAUUUCUAUUAUAAUAAGUUUAUGUUCUCAUCAAGAAAGCAAUAUAACCAAAUACACUUUAAUAAUAAAUUGCAAAUUUAUUAUUAUUUAUGUAUAAUAAUAAUAAAAAUGCAAAACUAUAUGCUUUGUUUUGGGAUGGUACAC